This 787-nucleotide ribosomal RNA is filed under the name Enterococcus faecium. RNAcentral describes it as "bacterial SSU rRNA". It matches the Rfam family "Bacterial small subunit ribosomal RNA", at positions 33 to 791 of the family's 1533-position model. Lineage: Bacteria; Bacillati; Bacillota; Bacilli; Lactobacillales; Enterococcaceae. The record is from RNAcentral.
GUGCAGGUGGCGGGUGCUAUACAUGCAAGUCGAACGCUUCUUUUUCCACCGGAGCUUGCUCCACCGGAAAAAGAGGAGUGGCGAACGGGUGAGUAACACGUGGGUAACCUGCCCAUCAGAAGGGGAUAACACUUGGAAACAGGUGCUAAUACCGUAUAACAAUCAAAACCGCAUGGUUUUGAUUUGAAAGGCGCUUUCGGGUGUCGCUGAUGGAUGGACCCGCGGUGCAUUAGCUAGUUGGUGAGGUAACGGCUCACCAAGGCCACGAUGCAUAGCCGACCUGAGAGGGUGAUCGGCCACAUUGGGACUGAGACACGGCCCAAACUCCUACGGGAGGCAGCAGUAGGGAAUCUUCGGCAAUGGACGAAAGUCUGACCGAGCAACGCCGCGUGAGUGAAGAAGGUUUUCGGAUCGUAAAACUCUGUUGUUAGAGAAGAACAAGGAUGAGAGUAACUGUUCAUCCCUUGACGGUAUCUAACCAGAAAGCCACGGCUAACUACGUGCCAGCAGCCGCGGUAAUACGUAGGUGGCAAGCGUUGUCCGGAUUUAUUGGGCGUAAAGCGAGCGCAGGCGGUUUCUUAAGUCUGAUGUGAAAGCCCCCGGCUCAACCGGGGAGGGUCAUUGGAAACUGGGAGACUUGAGUGCAGAAGAGGAGAGUGGAAUUCCAUGUGUAGCGGUGAAAUGCGUAGAUAUAUGGAGGAACACCAGUGGCGAAGGCGGCUCUCUGGUCUGUAACUGACGCUGAGGCUCGAAAGCGUGGGGAGCAAACAGGAUUAGAUACCCUGGU